This 86-nucleotide transfer RNA is filed under the name Chloroflexota bacterium. RNAcentral describes it as "Chloroflexi bacterium (hydrothermal vent metagenome) tRNA-Leu". It matches the Rfam family "tRNA". From Rfam's summary of the family: Transfer RNA (tRNA) molecules are approximately 80 nucleotides in length. Their secondary structure includes four short double-helical elements and three loops (D, anti-codon, and T loops). Lineage: Bacteria; Bacillati; Chloroflexota. The record is from RNAcentral.
GGGCAUGUGGCGGAAUUGGCAGACGCGCAUGACUUAGGAUCAUGUCCCGUAACGGGGUGUGGGUUCGAGUCCCACCAUGCCCACCA